GUUGGUCAGAUGUACUUAAAGGGUUAUGAACUUAUCAUGGAUCCAUUUUUAUUAUGCAGGGUAGUGACGUUGAGAAAAUAUUAUAUGGACUCAGCUAUAUAGGAGCAACUAAUGCAUCAUUGUUGGGGGUGAGAUGGACAAACUUGCAAUUGAAGAACCAGGUUUAAAAACCGUGGUGUUCCUCAAAAAGUUUCUUACAAGGAUUUACCAUCUCAA
This 216-nucleotide long non-coding RNA is filed under the name Helianthus annuus (common sunflower). RNAcentral describes it as "sRNA HanXRQr2_Chr03g0090991". The record is from RNAcentral. Lineage: Eukaryota; Viridiplantae; Streptophyta; Magnoliopsida; Asterales; Asteraceae.